This 260-nucleotide non-coding RNA is filed under the name Klosneuvirus KNV1. The record is from RNAcentral. Lineage: Varidnaviria; Bamfordvirae; Nucleocytoviricota; Megaviricetes; Imitervirales; Mimiviridae.
CACACUUUCGCAAGUGGGUCUAGACUAUAUCUUAAGCUUACUUAAGCCCAUGAUUGUAUAGUCGUUGCACGAUCUUCUUAUUCAGAAGUUCGCUCAGGAUUAUCUCAAUGAUAUAGAUUGUACCAAUUUCAAUUGAUUUCUCAAUUAGACGUGGACUAUAUCACGGUUAGAUGUUCCCUGAAUUUAAUCAUGUUGCCUAUACCUUAAUAUAGACUAGUAGGUUAAACCUACUAUUUUUAGCCAAAAUGUAACCAACGUUU